This is a long non-coding RNA of Cyprinus carpio carpio, 739 nucleotides long. Lineage: Eukaryota; Metazoa; Chordata; Actinopteri; Cypriniformes; Cyprinidae. The record is from Ensembl.
AGUGUCCAAAAUGAAGUUCAUGAAGGAGGGUGUAAAACUGUCUCCGUACCCCUUCCUUAUCACACUCUAUGUGGAGUAUCGUGAACCAGCCUUUCCAUAUGCAGUGAAAAAUACCAAUGCCUGGAACACACCGGAGGAAAUGUCUAUGAAAAAGUCCAAGAUGUGCUUGUGAGCCAAUGAGGAUAGUCCAGACCACUGCAAUGGAUCAUCCAGAAGAGGGCACUAUGAUCCAACACAGGCAUUAAUAAGCUAACCACUGAGUGCUUUCAGGAGUCCCCUUCCUCGGCCAAUGGUGCAGAAGCGAUGGUUUGUGGCAGUGAGAUUCAUGCUGACUCACAUGUGACUUGUCUACCAGCACCAGAUGUGCAUGAUGCUUGCUGUUUCCCUUCUCUGUUCUUCUGUAAGAGUCCUGCAAAUGCAAAAAAUCCCAACCAUCAUUCCUUGACACAUACAGAUAAGAAAGAAAACGCUGCUUCAGUUUUAAGCUUCAAGCGUUCACUAAAUUGAGUGUGUGUGGGGCAGACCACUCUCAAGAAGGAUCAAAGAAGAAUUAGUUGAAGCUCUCCUGUAUCUGUCAAAGACUUCUAACUUUGGGAUCAUGACUCAAGAAAAUGCCCAGAUUUAUCUCUGUGGUUUUUAUUUUCAGAGGUUACGUAUCGCUGUAACCUGGAGACCAGUAGAGUCAUGAAGAAUUAGAUUAUUAAUACAUCCGCUUGCACUUUAUAGCAGCUGCCAAAAC